CAGAACGAACGCUGGCGGCAGGCUUAACACAUGCAAGUCGAACGAAGUCUUCGGACUUAGUGGCAGACGGGUGAGUAACGCGUGGGAACCUACCCUUUGGUACGGAACAACAGUUGGAAACGACUGCUAAUACCGUAUGCGCCCUACGGGGGAAAGAUUUAUCGCCGAAGGAUGGGCCCGCGUUGGAUUAGCUAGUUGGUAGGGUAACGGCCUACCAAGGCGACGAUCCAUAGCUGGUCUGAGAGGAUGAUCAGCCACACUGGGACUGAGACACGGCCCAGACUCCUACGGGAGGCAGCAGUGGGGAAUAUUGGACAAUGGGGGCAACCCUGAUCCAGCCAUGCCGCGUGAGUGAUGAAGGCCCUAGGGUUGUAAAGCUCUUUCAGCGAGGAGGAUAAUGACGUUACUCGCAGAAGAAGCCCCGGCUAACUUCGUGCCAGCAGCCGCGGUAAUACGAAGGGGGCUAGCGUUGUUCGGAAUCACUGGGCGUAAAGCGCACGUAGGCGGACUUUUAAGUCAGGGGUGAAAUCCCGGGGCUCAACCCCGGAACUGCCUUUGAUACUGGAAGUCUUGAGUCCGAGAGAGGUGAGUGGAACUCCGAGUGUAGAGGUGAAAUUCGUAGAUAUUCGGAAGAACACCAGUGGCGAAGUGCGCGC
This 656-nucleotide ribosomal RNA is filed under the name Rhodobacteraceae bacterium Pbc-contF2b. RNAcentral's name for it is "bacterial SSU rRNA". It matches the Rfam family "Bacterial small subunit ribosomal RNA", at positions 25 to 727 of the family's 1533-position model. The record is from RNAcentral. Lineage: Bacteria; Pseudomonadati; Pseudomonadota; Alphaproteobacteria; Rhodobacterales; Paracoccaceae.